GAUGAACGCUGGCGGCGUGCCUAAUACAUGCAAGUCGAGCGAACAGACGAGGAGCUUGCUGCUCUGACGUUAGCGGCGGACGGGUGAGUAACACGUGGAUAACCUACCUAUAAGACUGGGAUAACUUCGGGAAACCGGAGCUAAUACCGGAUAAUAUAUUGAACAGCAUGGUUCACUAGUGAAAGACGGUUUUGCUGUACCUUAUAGCUGGAUCCGCGCCGCAUUAGCUAGUUGGUAAGGUAACGGCUUACCAAGGCGACGAUGCGUAGCCGACCUGAGAGGGUGAUCGGCCACACUGGAACUGAGACACGGUCCAGACUCCUACGGGAGGCAGCAGUAGGGAAUCUUCCGCAAUGGGCGAAAGCCUGACGGAGCAACGCCGCGUGAGUGAUGAAGGUCUUCGGAUCGUAAAACUCUGUUAUUAGGGAAGAACAAAUGUGUAAGUAACGAUGCACGUCUUGACGGUACCUAAUCAGAAAGCCACGGCUAACUACGUG
This 497-nucleotide ribosomal RNA is filed under the name uncultured bacterium. RNAcentral describes it as "partial 16S ribosomal RNA". It matches the Rfam family "Bacterial small subunit ribosomal RNA", at positions 28 to 507 of the family's 1533-position model. The record is from RNAcentral.